AUGAACGCUGGCGGCGUGCCUCAUACAUGCAAGUCGAGCGAACAGGCGAGGAGCUUGCUCCUCUGACGUUAGCGGCGGACGGGUGAGUAACACGUGGAUAACCUACCUAUAAGACUGGGAUAACUUCGGGAAACCGGAGCUAAUACCGGAUAAUAUAUUGAACCGCAUGGUUCAAUAGUGAAAGACGGUUUUGCUGUCACUUAUAGAUGGAUCCGCGCCGCAUUAGCUAGUUGGUAAGGUAACGGCUUACCAAGGCAACGAUGCGUAGCCGACCUGAGAGGGUGAUCGGCCACACUGGAACUGAGACACGGUCCAGACUCCUACGGGAGGCAGCAGUAGGGAAUCUUCCGCAAUGGGCGAAAGCUUGACGGAGCAACGCCGCGUGAGUGAUGAAGGUCUUCGGAUCGUAAAACUCUGUUAUUAGGGAAGAACAAAUGUGUAAGUAACUAUGCACGUCUUGACGGUACCUAAUCAGAAAGCCACGGCUAACUACGUG
This 496-nucleotide ribosomal RNA is filed under the name uncultured bacterium. Its description in RNAcentral is "partial 16S ribosomal RNA". It matches the Rfam family "Bacterial small subunit ribosomal RNA", at positions 29 to 507 of the family's 1533-position model. The record is from RNAcentral.